GACGAACGCUGGCGGCGUGCCUAAUACAUGCAAGUAGAACGCACAGUUUAUACCGUAGCUUGCUACACCAUAGACUGUGAGUUGCGAACGGGUGAGUAACGCGUAGGUAACCUGCCUGGUAGCGGGGGAUAACUAUUGGAAACGAUAGCUAAUACCGCAUAAUAUUAAUUAUUGCAUGAUAAUUAAUUGAAAGGUGCAAUUGCACCACUACCAGAUGGACCUGCGUUGUAUUAGCUAGUAGGUGAGGUAACGGCUCACCUAGGCGACGAUACAUAGCCGACCUGAGAGGGUGAUCGGCCACACUGGGACGGAGACACGGCCCAGACGCCUACGGGAGGCAGCAGGAGGGAAUCGUCGGCAAUGGACGAAAGUCUGACCGAGCAACGCCGCGUGAGUGAAGAAGGUUUUCGGAUCGUAAAGCUCUGUUGUAAGAGAAGAACGGGUGUGAGAGUGGAAAGUUCACACUGUGACGGUAUCUGACCAGAAAGGGACGGCUAACUACGUG
RNAcentral lists this ribosomal RNA (505 nucleotides) under uncultured bacterium. RNAcentral's name for it is "partial 16S ribosomal RNA". It matches the Rfam family "Bacterial small subunit ribosomal RNA", at positions 28 to 507 of the family's 1533-position model. The record is from RNAcentral.